CUAAAGUCUUUUAAGUUGCUGAGAACGAACCACUGGGGAGAGUUUCAUGUCAACUCACUCAAUUCUUUCAGUUCAAGUAUAAAGUCAAAGCAAAUUUUUACCUUAAAAUUUAAAAAUGAAUUUCAGGUGACCAGUUGAUUGACCUCAUACUUUGUUUCCUACUCCUACUUCAGAUGUGUAACUACACGGCCUGGGCCAGUCCCAUCAUCGUGGACAUGACUGAGGUAGCUCUCUGUUCUGAAGAGGACCCACUUAACUUCACCUCCAAAGUCUGUGUGAAUAUUACAGUCCUCCAGAACCUGCUGGCCAAUCAGGACAACCACUGGUUGGUAAACUACUGUGCCAAUCAUUCAACCAUUCCUCCUGGUGGAGGAGGAGGAGGAGGAGGAGCUGGAGCUGGAGGACAGGGCGGAGGACAGACUGUCUUUAACACCUCUGGACAGUGUCUGUACAGCAGCUGGAUCAUGUCUCCCCCAAAUGCAAUGGUCUUGAGCCAGUGCUGGGAGCGUGACCAGGCCCGUUUCCUCUCAUUUAUCUGCCAGAGCAGUGGGCUCCUCUGGCUCUUCUCCCAAGACCUAUCCAAAGCCUGGGUAGGCAGAAUAUGUACGACGUACAACAACUACACCACUACAGCCAACAGCACCAAUGCUACAAGCCCUGAUUUUUGUUUGGCAACAAAUCUGAUGAAACAGUUCAAGUGGACCUGCCCAAACAGCUUCAUCUCAGACUGUCAGCCUUGUGCCACUCAGAACAUGAUGGUGCAGAUGAUCGUUCGCUGCUGGGUGGAGAAUCUGAGCCUCAAGAUUCAGGAUUUGCUGACUACGUCUGUGACUAAAGUGUUGAACCAAGCAGUCGCCACCACUGUGGUGAUCCUCCUGGCUGUGGAGGACUCCCUGGGCCCCAUUUGGCACAUCAAUGAGACCAUUGGACAAAGUGUCCUCGAGUCUGUGUUCAACUACCUGAUGACAGAACCCAACCAGGACAAUAAGAGGGUGGUGCUGCAGUGCUUUGGGAAGUUGAUCGGCAGUUUGCUGCAGACGGCCCGAGAACUGACCACCAACGAUCUCCUUUUUGCAAAGGUUGGACAUCAUUUUAAAUGA
RNAcentral lists this long non-coding RNA (1100 nucleotides) under Nothobranchius furzeri (turquoise killifish). RNAcentral's name for it is "lncRNA (ENSNFUG00015012149.1)". Lineage: Eukaryota; Metazoa; Chordata; Actinopteri; Cyprinodontiformes; Nothobranchiidae. The record is from RNAcentral.